UAUGGCCACAUCAUGUUGAAACACCGGUUGUCGUACGAUCACCGGAGUUAAGCAACGUCGAGCCUGGACAAUACCUAGAUGGGUGACCUUUGCGAAUACCAGGUGCUAU
Non-coding RNA from Acanthosepion pharaonis, 109 nucleotides. Lineage: Eukaryota; Metazoa; Mollusca; Cephalopoda; Sepiida; Sepiidae. The record is from the annotation of a GenBank genome assembly.